GGCAUCUUGGCGGAGUGGUUAACGCGAGAGAUUAGAAUUAAAUAUCUCUUCCGAUUUUCGGGCGCAUGUUCGAAUCAUGCAGAUGUCG
This 88-nucleotide transfer RNA is filed under the name Tulasnella sp. JGI-2019a. It matches the Rfam family "tRNA". From Rfam's summary of the family: Transfer RNA (tRNA) molecules are approximately 80 nucleotides in length. Their secondary structure includes four short double-helical elements and three loops (D, anti-codon, and T loops). The record is from Rfam by way of RNAcentral. Lineage: Eukaryota; Fungi; Basidiomycota; Agaricomycetes; Cantharellales; Tulasnellaceae.